Molecule: long non-coding RNA, 2143 nt
Filed under: Theobroma cacao (cacao)
Lineage: Eukaryota; Viridiplantae; Streptophyta; Magnoliopsida; Malvales; Malvaceae
Description: long non-coding RNA (TCAC_LNC005807)
Source: RNAcentral
UUAUCUCCUUCAGCAAGAUAUUUCCUUCUUCUUCUUGAAGCUUCCAAUGCCAUCUUCUCAUUCACCACCAUGAAAAUGGAGUUUUUCAAUUUCUUUUCCUUGUUUUCUUCUCAUUUCCUUUCUUUUUUUACUUCUUUCUUGUCCAAACUUCUUGGGCACUAAACCUGAAGCUUUUAACCCCAAUUUUCAGCACAUCUAAACCCUAGGAGAAGAAGAAAGAAAAAGAAAGGAAGGAAGAAAAGCUUGGUUUUGGUGAUUCAAGCAAGGAAAGGUAAGGAUUCUUGUUUUUGGCUUGAGUAGUCUUUAAAAAUGAGUUAGUGACUUAGAGAAAAGAGUGGCUUGAUUGGAGAAAUAUUGGUAACAUGUAAGCCAAUAAACCCAUGGGUACAUGAAGGACUCAAAGUGGAAAAGGAAAACGGUAAGCUUAACACUAUGUUUUAAAGCCUACGGUUAGUUGAAUAUUGUGAGGAAUUAUGGUUGUUGAAAGGAUCUAUUUGCCUAAGCUAGUUGAAAAUUAUUAAGAUUGUAUGGCAUGUUGUUUGAAAGAAAUGAAAAGGGAAUAUUGUGGAUGGAGGAUUGAGAAACAAAGUAUUGAAAGUUAGAUAUAUAACGAUACAUGUAAACUAGGAAAUAAUCGAGUAAAAGUGAGAAUGAUUGUUGUUGCCAUAUAUGUGGAUUAUGUGUGGAAAUAAAAGAUGGAUUUGGGCGGAAAUUAUUUAGAAAGGUUGAAGUAGGCAUGUGACAUCAUAAAUAAGUUGCCGGAGAUAUAAAAUAAGGAAUUACGUAAGCAACUGAUAUAAGUAAUUUCAGUAAAAAUGUAUUAAGAUGUGAGUCAAUUGAAUAUGGUCUCAUGAUAGGGUGAAAAAUAUAAAUUUAAGUAAGGAUUAAUUGAUUGAAGUGCUACCCCGUAUACGUAUGUAAUUAAAAAUAUUGAGUUGGUAUUAUUGCUAGGAAGUGCAAAGGCAAGGUUAGAGUACUGUGGUGGUGUGCUAGAGUAAAUAACGAGUGACCGACCAGUGAAAAUAGUUAGAGACACCUCUAAACAAAUAACGACUUAAUAUUUCGUUGUUACAAGGUGAGUGAACUUGCAUAAAAUGUUUUGGGAGUAAGGCACAUGUGGUUGAUUGAGAUAUUUUAAUUGUUUUUCUAUAAAAAUGCAGGGGAACAAGCUUUUAGUGAAAUAUUUUUGUGAUGUGGAACAUAAUUGUGAUGAAUCUAUGUACCUCUAUAUGAUACUGAUAUGCAUAUAUAUAAAAAAUAAUAAUAUAUGAUAUGUAUUGUUAAGUAAUUUUGUAUAAUUGAUGUAACCGUCCAUGUGAGGGGUGGGCAGUGCACAUGCCGGUUAAAUGACAAUGUUGUGACAAUUACAACCGUGCAUGUGCGAACUGGGCAGUGCACAUGCCGACUAUGAUGUACGUGUAGGGAGUGCACGUUGGCUGAGUGAGGUGGUGGUAUUUGUGUUUAUAUAUAUAUAUAUAUAUGUACAUGUGUAAUAGAAGGUUUAUGAAUAUAGUACGUGGUUGUAAUGUAUGUGGAAUCUUGCAUGUUGAACAUUGAAAGUUGCUAAGUAUUUUCAAAUUGAUGUUUAUUGCAGCGAGAAACGUGCUGUCACGUUGCUAACUUGCUUGGGUUCUAAUAUAAUUUUUGUUCACUCCUCUAUCUUCAAGAUUGAGCAUUGGUCUUUGCAACACUAAGAGUUUACUAAUCAAUGCUCGAAACAAGGGGUUUAAGAAAGAAAUUAAACUAAAUUGCAUUAUUUUCAAAACAAGUGCAUCAUGAUUUCUAAACCUUCCUUAACGCUGCUUGUUCCCUUCCUAUGUUCACUCACUGAGUUUAUACUCACGUUUUAAAAUUCAUGUUUUAGGUUUCUUGAGUUAAAGGUGAUUGGAUCCUAGGACGAGGUGCUCCUCCCUAUCCAUUGCUCGGUAGGUUUAACGUGGCAUUAAAUGUUAGCAAUCGUGCCUAGAGUCACUUCGCUGACGGUCAAGGUUUAAUCAUGUGUAUAUGAAUACUUGGUGUGAAAUACUAAGAAUCAUUUGUUAAUCUAUAUAUGAAUAUAAUGGUUGAUGAUACCAUUAUGAAUGCAUGAUUGGGUUUUAUGAAUUGUUUUCAAAAGAACGGUAUUUGAACAUUACGAAUUUUG